AUUGAUCUAUAAUAUUGAAUAAGAUGUAUAGCUUAUAAUCAAUUUUAUAUUUUUUUUUAAUAGAUAGUUACAUAGGUUGGUAACAUGAGGGUGAAUGCUACAAAUUUGAUUAAAGAAAGUAUCCCGAGCUACCCUCAAAAGAGUACUAAGAUCCGGGAGCACAAAGCAGGCGAUCGUAAGAGCAAUUGCUCAGGAGCUAUGUUCCACAAAAUACCGAAUCCAAACAUAGCACAUAGGCAUAUUAUAAAACGUGAGCCCUUCAGGCUUUUUAAUUAGGAAUCGUAUGAUUGGAGUGCAGUAACGGGUCACUUGAAGAGUGCCUCCCGCGCAAUAAUUGGAACCCAUACUCUUAAUUAUUUAUUUAAACUGGAUAAUUUUAUUAUCCAUUUGUGUAGAUUAUUGAUGAAGCUGAGUUCUUUUUAUUUGGAACUGAUGACCUUACCCAAAUGACAUUUGGGUAUAGUGGAGAUGAUGUUGGAAAAUUUCUUUCCAUUUACCUAUCAAGCGGCAUUCUGCAGAGUGAUCCGUUCGAGGUUAGUUGUGUAACGUUUAUUUUCUCAUUGAGGACAUGUGAAAGAUGGUUCUUGAAAUUUUUUAACUAUUUCACAAUAAUAUUAAAUGUUCAACUAUUAAACUAAAUUUUGAAGACUCUUGCAGAGUUCUAA
Molecule: long non-coding RNA, 665 nt
Organism: Arachis duranensis
Lineage: Eukaryota; Viridiplantae; Streptophyta; Magnoliopsida; Fabales; Fabaceae
Exons: 2
Source: RefSeq, a predicted model, not a curated record